Molecule: non-coding RNA, 324 nt
Organism: Pelodiscus sinensis (Chinese soft-shelled turtle)
Lineage: Eukaryota; Metazoa; Chordata; Testudines; Trionychidae
Source: RefSeq, a predicted model, not a curated record
GUCACAGUGUCCUAAGCAGUUUGUUUUUCAUAAAUGUGCCUCCUUGCACUGACUCCUCUGAGCUACUAUCUUGAAGAUUUAAGAUGAGUCCCAGGAUUAGAGAUGGAAUACAGUCCAGAAUGAUGGAAUCAUGGUGAGAACGGAAGAGAUUGUAUGGUGAAGGAAGAAGCUGAAAUGAAAGAGAUUUAGAUUCUAAUGAACCUGAUGUAGUGGCUCUCCACAUCUGUGUAACUGCACUCAUGAUCACUGCAAAUGGGAAAAACAGACAAUCACGAAUGAGCAUGGCGUACUGCUUCAAAAUCCGAGGCAAUGAAGAGGUUCAGG